RNAcentral lists this ribosomal RNA (492 nucleotides) under uncultured bacterium. RNAcentral's name for it is "partial 16S ribosomal RNA". It matches the Rfam family "Bacterial small subunit ribosomal RNA", at positions 29 to 507 of the family's 1533-position model. The record is from RNAcentral.
AGUGAACGCUGGCGGUAGGCCUAACACAUGCAAGUCGAACGGCAGCACAGUAAGAGCUUGCUCUUACGGGUGGCGAGUGGCGGACGGGUGAGGAAUACAUCGGAAUCUACUUUUUCGUGGGGGAUAACGUAGGGAAACUUACGCUAAUACCGCAUACGACCUACGGGUGAAAGCAGGGGAUCUUCGGACCUUGCGCGAUUGAAUGAGCCGAUGUCGGAUUAGCUAGUUGGCGGGGUAAAGGCCCACCAAGGCGACGAUCCGUAGCUGGUCUGAGAGGAUGAUCAGCCACACUGGAACUGGGACACGGUCCAGAAUCCUACGGGAGGCAGCAGUGGGGAAUAUUGGACAAUGGGCGCAAGCCUGAUCCAGCCAUACCGCGUGGGUGAAGAAGGCCUUCGGGUUGUAAAGCCCUUUUGUUGGGAAAGAAAAGCAGCAGGUUAAUACCCCGCUGUUCUGACGGUACCCAAAGAAUAAGCACCGGCUAACUUCGUG